CCAACAUGGAUACCCAGGAAGUCACUCUCCCCAGGCUCUGUCCAGGCGGCCUAGGGGAGCAUAGGGCUCUUCCCCGUGAUAUACAAUCCCUUUCCACAAUGUUGGAGGAGAAGCUGGGCUUGUGCCUGCACCUGCACAUUCCCACAACUUUGCAGAAUCCUUUGGGCAGUGACUGAGGAGAUAAACGAUGCAGGAAACAGUC
Octodon degus (degu) is the source of this 202-nucleotide small nucleolar RNA. Its record names the gene SNORA73. It matches the Rfam family "Small nucleolar RNA SNORA73 family". From Rfam's summary of the family: U17 (SNORA73A and SNORA73B) also known as E1 belongs to the H/ACA class of small nucleolar RNAs (snoRNAs). Vertebrate U17 is intron-encoded and ranges in length from 200-230 nucleotides, longer than most snoRNAs. It is one of the most abundant snoRNAs in human cells and is essential for the cleavage of pre-rRNA within the 5' external transcribed spacer (ETS). NCBI's taxonomy places the organism in Eukaryota, Metazoa, Chordata, Mammalia, Rodentia, Octodontidae. The record is from Ensembl.